UUUCUACAUAAUAAUGCAUCACGAUUAAUCUCAAUCUUCACAAUAACCGUAUUAAUAAAACAAGAACUAUUUCUUGCAAUAUCUUGGAAAUUAGAAGGAAGAGGUGGAAGGAAACCAAAAGUGAAGUUCCCUGGCCUGCUCUCAAUUUUUUUUGUGAAACUUGAGUAAAAGGGUCAAAAAAAGACUUUCCUUUCAUAGUGUUGGAGAUAGUUUUCUUUUAAGUGGAUAAUUCAGAAAUGGAGAAAUGCAAGAUACAAACAAGGAUAAUGGACAUAUAUGGGACAUCAGAUACAAAUCCUCUCUCCAAUUCUUAUUCAAAGAAGACAAUUAAUUGACCUGUGGCUGUUUACCCAAGGAACUGUGCACCUGGAACUGCCCAGAUGUUUUGAAAACGCAGGGUUCAUGAUGUUGAUACCUGAAGACAUGAAGUGUCAUCGUAACCUCCACAUUAGAGUGGGAGCAUGUGAGAAAAAGGCUCUCUGCAGUCACCAAAACUUCAAUGAAAGAUUGCCAGAUGCAACAAUCACGUAGUGGAACUAUAGAAAAGUGAAGGAAGAGAGAUGUAGUCCAGCAUGAGAUGAAGCCAAGCAAGAAAAAAAGACAGCAGCAGCAAAUUCUCAGAGUAACAGCUAAGACAAGAGAAUUGGCAUUGACUGAAAUAGACAGGAGGUGAUACGAUUAGGCUUUGUCCUGCUGUAAAGAUACAGAAAAUGUGGAAGUGACUUUGAAAUGGGUAACAGGCAGAGGUUUGUACUUCCUAGAGACUUGGAGAGCUCAGAAGACAGGAAGAUGUGGGAAAGUUUGGAACUUCCUAGAGACUUGUUGAAUGGCUUUGACCAAAAUGCUGAUAGUGAUAUGGACAAUAAAGUUCAGGCUGAAGCGAUCUCAAUGGAGAUAAAGAACUUGUUGGGAACUGGAAUAAAGGUGAUUCUUGCUAUGCUUUAGCAAAGGUAACCUCUUCUCCCCAUUACCCAGGAAUUAGCAAAGCGUCAUUUUGCCCCUGCCCUAGAGAUCUGUGGAGCUUUGAACUGGAGGGAGAUGAUUUAGGGUAUAUGGCAGAAGAAAUUUCUAAGCAACAAAGCAUUCAAGAUGUGACUUAGGUGCUCUUAAAAGCAUUCAGUUUUAUGUAUUAACAAAAAUAUGAUUUUGAAUUGGAACUUAUGUUUAAGGGGGAAGCAGAACAUAAAAGUUUAGAAAAUUUGCAGCCAGACAAUGCAAUAGAAAAGAAAAACCAAUUUUCUGAGGAGAAAUUCAAGCUAGCUGCAGAAAUUUGCAUAAGUAAUGAGGAGUCAAAUGUUAAUUUCCAAGACAAUGGGGAAAAUGGCUCCAAGGCAUGUCAGAAAACUUCAUAGCAGGUCCUCCCAUCACAGGACCAGAGGUUCAGGAGGAAAAAAUAGUUUCAUGGGCUGUGGCCAGGGCCUUGCUGCUUUGUGCAGUUUUGAGACUUGGCGUCAUGCAUCCCAGCUGUGGCUAAAAGGGGCCAAGAUACAGGUCAGGUUUCAGAAGGUGCAAACCCUAACCCUUGACAUUUCCACAUGGUGUUGAGCCUGCAGGUACACAGAAGUCAAGAAAUAAGAUUUGGGAACUUCACCUAGAUUUCGGAGGAUGUAAGGAAAUGCCUGAAUAUUGAGGCAGAAGUUUUCUGCAGGGGUGGAGCCCUCAUGGAGAACCUCUGCUAGGGCAGUACAGAAGGAAAUGUGAGAUCAAAGCCCCCACACAGAAUCCACACUGGUGCACUGCCUAGUGGAGCUGUGAGAAGAUGGCCACCAUCCUCUAGACCCCAGAAUGGUAGAUCCACCAACAGCUUGCACUGUGUGCCUGGAAAAGAUGCAGAUACUCAACGCCAGCUCAUGAAAGCAGCCAGGAAAGGGGUUGUAUCCUGAAAAGCCAUAGAGGUGGAACUGCCCAAGGCCAUGGGAGCCCACAUUUUGCAUCAGCAUGACCUGGAUGUGAGACAUGGAGUCAAAGGAGAUCAUUUCAGAGCUUUAAGAUUUGACUGUCCUGCUGGAUUUCAGACUUGCAUGGGUCCUGUAGCCCCUUUGUUUUGGCCAAUUUCACCCAUUUGGAAUGCAUGUAUUUACCAAACGCCUGUACCACCAUUGUAUCUAGGAAGUAACUAACUUACUUUCGAUUUUACAGGAUCAUAGGCAGAAGGGACUUGCCUUGUCUCACAUAAGACUUUGGACUUGGACUUUUGGGUUAAUGCUGGAAUGAGUUAAGACUUUGGGGGACUGUUGGGAGGCAUGGCUGAUUUUAAAAUAUGAAAGGGACAUGAGAUUUUGAAGGGGCCAGAGCAGAAUGAUAUGGUUAGGCUUUGUGUCCCUACCCAAAUCUCAUCUUGAAUUGGAAUCCCCAUAAUUCCCAUGUGUCAAGGGAGAGACGAAGUGGAGGUAAUUGAAUCAUAUGGGUGGUGUCCCCCGUGCUUUUCUCAUGAUAGUGAGUGAGUUCUCACAAAAUCUGAUGGUUUUAUAAGGGGCUCUUCCCCCUUCACUUGGCACUUCUCCUUUCUGCCACCUUAUGAAGAAGGUGCCUUGCUUCCCCUUCACCUUCCAUCGUGAUUGUAAGUUUCCUGAGGCCUCCCAGCCAUGCUGAACUGUAAGUCAAUUAAACCUCUUUCCUUUAUAAAUUAUCCAGUCUUGGGUAUGUCUUCAUUAGCAGUGUGGGAAUGGACUAAUACAGAAGGUAACCUCUUCUCCCCAUUACCCAGGAAUUAGCAAACAUAUUAACGAGAGCACCAGUGGGCUCCUCCAGGUAGGUAGUAUGGAUGUCACUAUACUCUUUUUGGAUUUUAAAAUAAAGUCAGCCCAAGAAAACUAGAGGACAGGGAGGUAGCAGGGUAAUCCAGCCUGAUACCAUUCAAACAUAGUUUACAGUUUAUUUCUCCAGCAGCCAUUACAUAUUGGUAUGAACAAAUUAGAUUCAUGAGCCAUUUAAUUGAAAAAAAUAUCACUUUAGAUAAUAUACUUUCGCUGCAUUCCCUUCAUCACAUUAAUUGUCCUCCAAAAAAUGGGUGUUAUUCCGUAG
RNAcentral lists this long non-coding RNA (3024 nucleotides) under Homo sapiens (human). Its description in RNAcentral is "HSALNT0127911". Lineage: Eukaryota; Metazoa; Chordata; Mammalia; Primates; Hominidae. The record is from RNAcentral.